Molecule: long non-coding RNA, 649 nt
Filed under: Coffea arabica (coffee)
Lineage: Eukaryota; Viridiplantae; Streptophyta; Magnoliopsida; Gentianales; Rubiaceae
Description: long non-coding RNA (CARA_LNC002477)
Source: RNAcentral
UGUUCUUAUCAUUUGCCCUUGAGAUAUAAAUACAGUGUGCCAAAGUCACUAGCAUACGUACCUGAGCAAUUGCGCUACCGGAAUCCGGUAUAAAGGUAGCAUCACAAACGACCUCUUCUGAGUUCAUGGACGUCAAAACUCUCGCGAAAAUUUUCUUUCUCGUCUUACUUUCAACUUCAUCCAUCUCAUCUGCAACAUCAAGAACAAUUUCCGGGAAAACAAGUGAGUUGUGUAGUUCACAAAUACCUUACAUGACAAUUGAUAGUUUAGUUUAUCGUUCGUGUUUGUGGUGCUUUGGUUUUAUGCAGACGAAUUUAGGGGCAACGAUACCCAUGUUUCAGAGGUAAAGGUACACCCAAGUCCCAUCCGGUCACCAAGAUCAAAGGCAAUGGAUGUUCCUUCUCCAAUCGGCUUUUGUUGUUGAUAAUCCAAAAUCAGACGAAACUUCAGGAUUUGGGUUGGGAGUUGCUUCUUUUUAUUGUAUUUUCUUUGGGCGGGGAGGUUGCUUCUUUUUGUGUUUAUUUAAUUUUUUUUGUUCUGUAAGUACUUCUUUUUAUUGUUGUCGAUAAGCCUAUAUACAAAUGGGCAUGUCUAGUAUCAAAAUAAUGUGAAAUCCAAGAUAUUUGUUCCAAUGUGUCCUAGUUUUUCA